UACAGAGGUCUCAAGCGUUGUUCGGAAUCACUGGGCGUAAAGGGUGCGUAGGUGGCGUGGAAAGUCAGAUGUGAAAUCCGGGGGCUCAACCUCCGAAUAGCAUCCGAUACUCCCAUGCUAGAGAACUGGAGGGGGAUCUGGAAUUCUAGGUGUAGCAGUGAAAUGCGUAGAUAUCUAGAGGAACACUAGUGGCGAAGGCGAGAUCCUGGACAGUUUCUGACACUGAUGCACGAAGGCCAGGGUAGCGAACGGG
RNAcentral lists this ribosomal RNA (253 nucleotides) under uncultured bacterium. RNAcentral's name for it is "partial 16S ribosomal RNA". It matches the Rfam family "Bacterial small subunit ribosomal RNA", at positions 524 to 776 of the family's 1533-position model. The record is from RNAcentral.